AGAAGAAAUAUUACAGCUGUGUGUUUUUUCUGUAUCCUUAUAAGGUGUGAGGUAUAUGUUCGGCUAUAAAUUUUCUUAUUCAUAUAAGGGAUUAUAUUUUUAAAUGUUAUUUUCCUCUUUUUUCUUAGCAAAUUGUCACCCUCAGAAAAUAUGAUGUUACAACUGCUAAUUGUAUAUAUGUUGAAUCAAUUUUUUGUCUGAUUUGGACUUUUAAGACCUUCAAAUGCGGUACAUGCAUUUAACACCUUUAGAAAAUCGACUUCAUUGUGAUCAUAAAUAUGUAUCUAUAAAGACUAUUGUCAUUUGUGAUAUCACCAAGGCUUUUCAUUGAAGAGCAGCUACCUGUUGUGGUCUUUAAUUUUCUCCAUUUGGCAUGUUCUAUUAACAUUUGGUGCUGCUAUCUAGGUUUGAGUAAUGAAAAGAACAAGAAACACAAAACCAUUUGUGGAUUGUCAAGUCGGGUGAUGAAACUGGGAAUUUGUAAUAGCAAAAGUGUUCCAUUGAUUGCUCAACUUAGAAAAGAUAAUAGAAGUACAAAAGCAUAACUAAGGUUGUUAACCAAACACUUUUUCCUUGUUUCAUCUGUGUUUAGGCUGGCACACGGAAUGCACAGAGAAUUCCCCUGCAAAUCACACUUGUGCUGUUUAUGGAUUUUGAAAUUUGAAUUUAGCUCUGUAGUUGAUAUGGUCUGCCAGUAAUACAGACCACUCUUUGAUUAUAUUUUUUUUCUGCUUGAUCCUUCAUUCGCUAUUCUCUAUAAAAGGUAGAUCUUAGUCCUCAAUUUGGUGCUAGAAAUUUGCUAUAUGGCAAAUCACCACAGAAAAAUUUCAUUUUGACAAAUCCCAGAACCCAGAAUUUGUAUUCGUUAGAAUGGCAAGGAAAGUAGAAA
This is a long non-coding RNA of Populus euphratica (Euphrates poplar), 889 nucleotides long. RefSeq lists it as uncharacterized. NCBI's taxonomy places the organism in Eukaryota, Viridiplantae, Streptophyta, Magnoliopsida, Malpighiales, Salicaceae. The record is from RefSeq and is a predicted model, not a curated record. The transcript has 2 exons.